This 433-nucleotide ribosomal RNA is filed under the name uncultured bacterium. RNAcentral describes it as "partial 16S ribosomal RNA". It matches the Rfam family "Bacterial small subunit ribosomal RNA", at positions 29 to 507 of the family's 1533-position model. The record is from RNAcentral.
AACGAACGCUGGCGGCAUACCUAACACAUGCAAGUCGAACGAACCCUUCGGGGUUAGUGGCGCACGGGUGCGUAACGCGUGGGAAUCUGCCCUUUGCUUCGGAAUAACUCAGGGAAACUUGUGCUAAUACCGGAUGAUGUCUUCGGACCAAAGAUUUAUCGGCAAGGGAUGAGCCCGCGUAGGAUUAGGUAGUUGGUGGGGUAAAGGCCUACCAAGCCGACGAUCCUUAGCUGGUCUGAGAGGAUGAUCAGCCACACUGGGACUGAGACACGGCCCAGACUCCUACGGGAGGCGGCAGUGGGGAAUAUUGGACAAUGGGCGCAAGCCUGAUCCAGCAAUGCCGCGUGAGUGAUGAAGGCCCUCGGGUCGUAAAGCUCUUUUACCAGGGAUGAUAAUGACAGUACCUGGAGAAUAAGCUCCGGCUAACUCCGUG